This is a non-coding RNA of Podarcis muralis (Common wall lizard), 147 nucleotides long. The record is from RefSeq and is a predicted model, not a curated record. NCBI's taxonomy places the organism in Eukaryota, Metazoa, Chordata, Lepidosauria, Squamata, Lacertidae.
GAAGGUUUCCUCCUGAGUCAGGCAGAGGAGAGGAAGCAGGCAGAGCAGCAGAGGAAGGAUCUUUUGGCAGAAAUGGGUCUUGAUUCUUCUGAGGCAGAGAAGACUCCGCUGGACGCCAGAGUGAGGCCUCUGGGUGACGGAAUGAUU